AGAGUUUGAUCCUGGCUCAGGACGAACGCUGGCGGCGUGCCUAAUACAUGCAAGUCGAGCGCAGGAAACCAGUUGAACCCUUCGGGGUGAUUCUGGCGGAAUGAGCGGCGGACGGGUGAGUAACACGUGGGCAACCUGCCUGUAAGACUGGGAUAACUUCGGGAAACCGGAGCUAAUGCCGGAUAGUAUUUCCUUUCUCCUGAUUGGAAAUGGAAAGACGGUUUCGGCUGUCACUUACAGAUGGGCCCGCGGUGCAUUAGCUAGUUGGCGGGGUAAUGGCCCACCAAGGCGACGAUGCAUAGCCGACCUGAGAGGGUGAUCGGCCACACUGGGACUGAGACACGGCCCAGACUCCUACGGGAGGCAGCAGUAGGGAAUCUUCCGCAAUGGACGAAAGUCUGACGGAGCAACGCCGCGUGAGCGAUGAAGGCCUUCGGGUCGUAAAGCUCUGUUGUUAGGGAAGAACAAGUACGAGAGUAACUGCUCGUACCUUGACGGUACCUAACCAGAAAGCCCCGGCUAACUACGUGCCAGCAGCCGCGGUAAUACGUAGGGGGCAAGCGUUGUCCGGAAUUAUUGGGCGUAAAGGGCUCGUAGGCGGUUUCUUAAGUCUGAUGUGAAAGCCCACAGCUCAACUGUGGAGGGUCAUUGGAAACUGGGGAACUUGAGUGCAGAAGAGGAGAGUGGAAUUCCACGUGUAGCGGUGAAAUGCGUAGAUAUGUGGAGGAACACCAGUGGCGAAGGCGACUCUCUGGUCUGUAACUGACGCUGAGGAGCGAAAGCGUGGGGAGCAAACAGGAUUAGAUACCCUAGUAGUCC
This 819-nucleotide ribosomal RNA is filed under the name uncultured bacterium. Its description in RNAcentral is "bacterial SSU rRNA". It matches the Rfam family "Bacterial small subunit ribosomal RNA", at positions 8 to 796 of the family's 1533-position model. The record is from RNAcentral.